CAGAAAAUAGUUUUAUUAAAAUAUUAAUUUUGGAGAUUAAAGAUGGGAGUAAUUUCUUUUCUGA
RNAcentral lists this transfer RNA (64 nucleotides) under Scolytinae sp. BMNH 1040341. RNAcentral describes it as "tRNA-Pro". The record is from RNAcentral. Lineage: Eukaryota; Metazoa; Arthropoda; Insecta; Coleoptera; Curculionidae.